AACACUGUUAACCUGCGGUACCUGCGGAAGGAUCAUUAUAGUAUAUGGAAUCUCCAUUCUAUAAACCCACUCUGCGUAUCUUGUAACUGUUGCUUCCAUGGGACUUGGUUCCGCCACACCGGCUUCACGGCUGGUGAGCGCCCAUGGAAGGAGAAACAAAACUCUUCUUUGAAAUGUAGUCAGUCUGAACAAGUUUUUAUAAACGUUAAAACUUUUAGCAAUGGAUCUCAGAUCGGAAGA
This 240-nucleotide unclassified non-coding RNA is filed under the name soil metagenome. RNAcentral describes it as "partial contains 5.8S ribosomal RNA, internal transcribed spacer 2, and large subunit ribosomal RNA". The record is from RNAcentral.